Cyprinus carpio (common carp) is the source of this 1934-nucleotide long non-coding RNA. RefSeq lists it as uncharacterized. The record is from RefSeq and is a predicted model, not a curated record. The transcript is spliced from 3 exons. Lineage: Eukaryota; Metazoa; Chordata; Actinopteri; Cypriniformes; Cyprinidae.
UGACGUUAGGGUCAAAGGGCAAAGUCAUUAAAAGAAAGCGCCAGAACGCUGCAGACACUAAUGUGUGUUUUCUCAUCAUUUAAUACAGAUCGGCCGUCUUGUGGUGGCUGACAUGUUGAGAUCACAUGACCAGCCGAAUACAAUGUGCUUUACCUUGGUAAACCCCCUAUUAUUGGAUGCUUUCACCAUGCAGCUUUAAGACUAGAGGCUCUCUGGGUGUGUGAAGAAGAAAAGAACGACUCUGGCGGGCUUUGAAGCUGCCCUGCCCCUUUCAGAGCCGUCAUCUCUCCCGCCAGCCCUUUGUUGGUAGCGAUGCUGGUUCUUUGUCAGCGGUCUCAUGUGGCUUAUGUCCAUUCCCAUCAUCACCAAUUACACAUGGCUUUCUCGGACGCACAUCUUUGACGGUGUCACUCAUUUACACUCGCGUGAAGACAUUCUGCGUACCUUUAGCUGCUUGUCAAAUUUAGCACUCUGUUUAGCUGCCUCCUCUCUUACGGGAACCGACACGCAGAGUGCAUUUUCGAAAGGAAACAAAUGUGUAACUAACACAUACACGAAAAUGGUGAGAGGUGGUAAAAGUGCCCUGCGUAUAUUUGCAUGUUUGAGUGCACGGUGAUAAGGCCGCGGGCCCUGCGUCGCUGUGUUUUAGACUGACAGUGUCUGUCAGGCCUGGCUCUGGGCUGUGUGUAGAGUAAAGGCAGGUCUGCGCUUCUCAAUUGCACUCAGCGGGGGACAAGUGCUCGGCUCUCAGGGACGCCACAGCCAGCUGGCUUCACAUAGAUGAGCCGUGCCCCGACUGUCUGCCCUGCAGUGUGUGUGUGUGUGUGUGUGUGUGUGAGAGAGAGAGAGAAAGAGAGAGAGAGAGAAAAAAACACACUUCAGAGGGAGAUUGUGUGUUUGAUUUUUCCAUUUUGUGUUGUAAAGAUUUUCUAAAUCUUUUGUUGGAACUACAAAUGUGACAAGAGUGGAUUUAUUUUGGAGAGAUCCUGAAGCUGUUUGCUUUGGUUUUGGUAGGUGGUUUCACAAAGUGUUGGUGGUUUCACAGCACAUUCCAUGAAUACGGUGUGCUCCUGUGACUUUCAUUGAAAGCAUUGAAGUCACAAAAUACAACUUUUGGGUUGGGAGAGAUAUUAUUAGAUAUGCUUUACUUUCUUGUGUGCAUUUAACAGUUAAGAUCAUACAGCAGUAUCAUAAUGUGACAUCUAUUGAGUUGGUAUUCAGUUAAAAAAAAUCAUUCGAAUUGAAUACAGGUACCGUUUUUAAACGUGUUUUCAUUACAUUUAACAAACGUAAUUGUGCUGCAUUUAAAAAAUAUAAUUUGAAAAUAUAUCUGCAUUGACUAGAUAAACAACAGACAAUAUUUUGUAUAAUAUGCCUGUGUGAUAAAAUGUAAGAGUUUAUCUGCUGUGGGUAGUGGUAGGCUGACCAAGAUCAAAAAAAUAUGUAUUUUUUCAUUGAUUUCAUCAUUUACAGCAUCCCAAAAGUUGUUCCCAAAUUAACUAUAGCCCCUACUGAGUGGCAGCUUAAUUUAGGCAGCAUUUGCCUCCAUGUUACUUAGAAACCUUCUUACAUUCUUUCACAUAUUUUUAAUAUUUUUUUUUUAUGUUUAACAGUUUUCUAUUUAAUGUGUGUUCAUUUAAUAUUUAGUGUUAAAUGUACAAAAAAUAUUUUUUAAAGAGCUGCAGUUUCUUCUUUGUAUUCAUGGUAAAAGUGCCUCACCAACUGUAACCAUCAACCAUUCCAGCAUCUGCAUCAUUAAAUCCUUAUACUCAAAGUCUAAACUGAUUAAUGUUGAAUUAAGCAGAAGUCAUUUUCUUUUAAAGGGGUCAUGUGACGUUGCUAAAAAAGAAUUAUGUUGUGUAUUUGGUGUAAUGCAAUGUGUUUAUGCGUUGUAAGAUUAAAAAACACAUUAUUUUCUACAUACUGUACAUUAU